RNAcentral lists this ribosomal RNA (509 nucleotides) under Knefastia tuberculifera. Its description in RNAcentral is "partial large subunit ribosomal RNA". It matches the Rfam family "Bacterial large subunit ribosomal RNA", at positions 1817 to 2597 of the family's 2925-position model. Lineage: Eukaryota; Metazoa; Mollusca; Gastropoda; Neogastropoda; Pseudomelatomidae. The record is from RNAcentral.
GGCUCCUUGAACUAAAAAUUAAUAAGGAGUCGGACCUGCCCAGUGAAAUUUUUUAACGGCCGCGGUACUCUGACCGUGCAAAGGUAGCAUAAUCAUUUGCCUUAUAAUUGAAGGCUAGUAUGAAUGGUUUGACAAGAAUACAACUGUCUCUUUAUAAUUUGUUAGAAUUUUAUUUUAAGGUGCAGAAGCCUUAAUGAAAUUGAUAGACAAGAAGACCCUAUCGAGCUUUAAAAAAUUUAAUAGAUUUUAUUUUAUAUGAUUAGAAAAUUAACUAAUAAAAAUUUUGGUUGGGGCGACUAAGGAACAAACAAAGCUUCCUUUAAUACAAAUAGACAUACAAGUUUUGAUCCAAAACUUUUGAUUAAAGAAAUUAGUUACCGUAGGGAUAACAGCAUUAUCUUUUUUGAGAGCUCUUAUCGAAAAAAAGGUUUGUGACCUCGAUGUUGGACCAGAAUAUCCUAAAGAUGCAGAAGUCUUUAAGGGUUGGUCUGUUCGACCAUUAAAAUUCU